RNAcentral lists this ribosomal RNA (435 nucleotides) under uncultured bacterium. RNAcentral describes it as "partial 16S ribosomal RNA". It matches the Rfam family "Bacterial small subunit ribosomal RNA", at positions 29 to 507 of the family's 1533-position model. The record is from RNAcentral.
AACGAACGCUGGCGGCAUGCCUAACACAUGCAAGUCGAACGAUUGCCUUCGGGUGGUAGUGGCGCACGGGUGCGUAACGCGUGGGAAUCUGCCCUUAGGUUCGGAAUAACAGCUGGAAACGGCUGCUAAUACCGGAUGAUAUCGCGAGAUCAAAGAUUUAUCGCCUGAGGAUGAGCCCGCGUUGGAUUAGGUAGUUGGUGGGGUAAAGGCCUACCAAGCCGACGAUCCAUAGCUGGUCUGAGAGGAUGAUCAGCCACACUGGGACUGAGACACGGCCCAGACUCCUACGGGAGGCAGCAGUGGGGAAUAUUGGACAAUGGGCGCAAGCCUGAUCCAGCAAUGCCGCGUGAGUGAUGAAGGCCCUAGGGUUGUAAAGCUCUUUUACCCGGGAAGAUAAUGACUGUACCGGGAGAAUAAGCCCCGGCUAACUCCGUG